UUAAAGAACACUCCAAGCACCAUAACCACUACAGUGUGUUGUAGUGGUUAUGGUGCCUGGAGUGCCCUAAGU
Molecule: non-coding RNA, 72 nt
Organism: Pelobates cultripes (western spadefoot toad)
Lineage: Eukaryota; Metazoa; Chordata; Amphibia; Anura; Pelobatidae
Source: the annotation of a GenBank genome assembly